GGAGAGCGAAUCAGACGAGAUUCCAAGGAGAACCAAGUACAGAUGGAAAAGACAGAGAAAGAGAGAGGAGGACUUGGCGCAUUCCCAAGAAAACCUGGGCAAGGGUUCCAGGGUUGCAAUGCCUGGAUCUUCAAAGGCAAAGGAAAAUGCAUCUGAUCCUGAAGAGGGCAUGAGCGGUGAAAACACAGGACCUAGUAGAGACUUGAUGCAAGGAGAUUCUGAUGAAGACAGCAUGCCUGGGCC
Long non-coding RNA from Myripristis murdjan (pinecone soldierfish), 243 nucleotides. RefSeq lists it as uncharacterized. NCBI's taxonomy places the organism in Eukaryota, Metazoa, Chordata, Actinopteri, Holocentriformes, Holocentridae. The transcript is spliced from 3 exons. The record is from RefSeq and is a predicted model, not a curated record.